Molecule: ribosomal RNA, 494 nt
Filed under: uncultured bacterium
Lineage: Bacteria
Description: partial 16S ribosomal RNA
Rfam family: Bacterial small subunit ribosomal RNA
Source: RNAcentral
GACGAACGCUGGCGGCGUGCUUAACACAUGCAAGUCGAACGGUGAAGCGCCUUCCUUUUUGGUGGGUGUGGAUGAGUGGCGAACGGGUGAGUAACACGUGAGUAACCUGCCCCCUUCUUCUGGAUAACCGCAUGAAAGUGUGGCUAAUACGGGAUAUUCUGGGUCUGUCGCAUGAUGGGUCUGGGAAAGAUAUUGUUUCGGUGGGGGAUGGGCUCGCGGCCUAUCAGCUUGUUGGUGGGGUGAUGGCCUACCAAGGCGGUGACGGGUAGCCGGCCUGAGAGGGUGGAGGGUCACAGGGGGACUGAGAAACGGCCAAGACCCCUAGGGGAGGCAGCAGGGGGGAAUAUGGCAGAGGGGGCGCAGGCCUGAGGCGGCGACGCCGGGGGAGGGAGGGAGGCUUUGGGUUUGUGAACCUUUGUCGCAGGGGAAGCAGGCCUGCCUCGUUUGGGGGUGGUUGGAGGUGAGCUGGAUAAGAAGCGCGGCUAAACUCGGGC